UUCUUCGCCUUCUACUUUUCUCCUCCUUCACUCUCCCCCUUUCUUUUUCUUUCUCUUCUCCUUCCUUCCCUUUUUCCUCUUUCCCCCUCCCUCCCUCCUUCCCUCCCUCCCUUCCUUCCUUUUUUAGAGACAGACUGAGACUCUGUCUCAAAAAAAAAAAAAGCAAACAACAAAAAAAAAAAAGUGGCUUUUUCCAAAAAAGCAAAUCAGCCUGUGACCCUCUGGGGAGGCCCCACCCUCAGCAUUCUUCCAUUUCCCAAAAGGGGAUAGGGGUUACUAUGGGAACUGAGGAUGGGGGAUGGGACGGGGAGACAGGGGGAGGGGAUCUGGUCUGGGUUGCUGAAGAAUUCCUACCUCUAUCGUAGUAGGAGUGACCCACUCACCCCAGCCUGAGGCCAAGGUGCAAAUGUCCUGCCCUCUCCCUCAGGACUCCUGCCUCCCAUGAGGCAGGUCUUGCCUUGGAGAUAGGGGCUGGGACUAUCCACUUGGGCCAGAAAGAAAGUGAAGGCUUGCCAGGCCCAGUGGUUCACACCUGUCAUCCAUGCUACUUUGGGGAAAGUCCAAGCAGGCAGCAUUCAUUGAGGUCGAUGUUCGACGAGACGAAGCC
RNAcentral lists this long non-coding RNA (607 nucleotides) under Aotus nancymaae (Ma's night monkey). RNAcentral describes it as "lncRNA (ENSANAG00000038651.1)". The record is from RNAcentral. Lineage: Eukaryota; Metazoa; Chordata; Mammalia; Primates; Aotidae.